This 577-nucleotide ribosomal RNA is filed under the name Fusarium oxysporum. Its description in RNAcentral is "eukaryotic LSU rRNA". It matches the Rfam family "Eukaryotic large subunit ribosomal RNA", at positions 1 to 589 of the family's 3401-position model. Lineage: Eukaryota; Fungi; Ascomycota; Sordariomycetes; Hypocreales; Nectriaceae. The record is from RNAcentral.
UGACCUCGGAUCAGGUAGGAAUACCCGCUGAACUUAAGCAUAUCAAUAAGCGGAGGAAAAGAAACCAACAGGGAUUGCCCUAGUAACGGCGAGUGAAGCGGCAACAGCUCAAAUUUGAAAUCUGGCUCUCGGGCCCGAGUUGUAAUUUGUAGAGGAUACUUUUGAUGCGGUGCCUUCCGAGUUCCCUGGAACGGGACGCCAUAGAGGGUGAGAGCCCCGUCUGGUUGGAUGCCAAAUCUCUGUAAAGUUCCUUCAACGAGUCGAGUAGUUUGGGAAUGCUGCUCUAAAUGGGAGGUAUAUGUCUUCUAAAGCUAAAUACCGGCCAGAGACCGAUAGCGCACAAGUAGAGUGAUCGAAAGAUGAAAAGCACUUUGAAAAGAGAGUUAAAAAGUACGUGAAAUUGUUGAAAGGGAAGCGUUUAUGACCAGACUUGGGCUUGGUUAAUCAUCUGGGGUUCUCCCCAGUGCACUUUUCCAGUCCAGGCCAGCAUCAGUUUUCCCCGGGGGAUAAAGGCGGCGGGAAUGUGGCUCUCUUCGGGGAGUGUUAUAGCCCACCGUGUAAUACCCUGGGGGGGACU